RNAcentral lists this long non-coding RNA (585 nucleotides) under Phascolarctos cinereus (koala). RNAcentral's name for it is "lncRNA (ENSPCIG00000000349.2)". Lineage: Eukaryota; Metazoa; Chordata; Mammalia; Diprotodontia; Phascolarctidae. The record is from RNAcentral.
AUGUCGUCCUUUUCGUCCCCCUACCCGUCUCUGAAGCCUGCGUGGUCCCUGCCAUCUGACCUCUGGCUCCUCAGAGAGCUUUCUUCAGACUCCAAAGCCAGUACUUUAAUUCUCUCAUCCUCCCCCACUGAGGUCCUAGUGCAGGGCCGAGGGGCUGCUGACCGGUUCCGUAAGAUGGCCAGAAUCCUAGCGCACAUCUGCGGGUUGACCCUGAGCUUGAAAAGAUAUAUUGGAAAUAGCCCAGCAGUACAGUGGGUGGCCUUCCAUUUGAAGAUACAAAAUAGAAUAAGAAAUGGAAUGUUAUUAAACAUCUUCACUGAAGCUAAAAUGAAUCUGACCAAGGAUUCUGCCAUACUUAAGAGUCUGUUAUCUGUUUGCCCACAUCGAAGAAGUGUAGAAGAUUUCAGACAAAUUCAAGAACAUUUAAAGAAGAACAUCUCAUUUCAGCAUUUGCCAAAUGAAGUCCAACUCCAACGUUGCCAAAUUGUAAUCUAUCAUGAGUCCCCCAUCACUGACUAUGUUAUAAUGGCAGCCAAAGAGGCAUCUUUUGUCAGCAAUCGUGUGACCCAUCAAGACCACUCUUGA